UACGUAGGGGGCGAGCGUUGUCCGGAAUUACUGGGCGUAAAGCGCUCGCAGGCGGCAUGUUAAGUCCGAUGUAAAAUCCUGAAGCUCAACUUUCGUAAGCAUUGGAAACUGUGAAGCUUGAGUGAAGGAGAGGAAAGUGGAAUUCCUAGUGUAGCGGUGAAAUGCGUAGAUAUUAGGAGGAAUACCGGUGGCGAAGGCGACUCGCUGGACUGUAACUGACGCUGAGGAGCGAAAGCGUGGGGAGCAAACAGG
Molecule: ribosomal RNA, 252 nt
Filed under: uncultured bacterium
Lineage: Bacteria
Description: partial 16S ribosomal RNA
Rfam family: Bacterial small subunit ribosomal RNA
Source: RNAcentral